CACAAGCUCCAACCGAGAACCACAGGUGGAGAGUUUGCAAGUUAGGACAGGUUCAGGACGCAGCCGGAGAGCUAGCCGGCACAACGCUGUGAAGAAAGAGGACUUGAAAAUUUCCACUGGCAGGUGGAAAAACAGGAAGGAACUGUCUCAGAACCUGGCUGACCUGAUUCUGCUGAUGACUCAGCUCAGAAGGACUCCUCAUCGGGAAAGUGAAUUGUACGUUACACGUGAAACAGGGAGAGAGGCUCCCUGGUGCUGUGUUUAGGGCCAGGUCUUACCACCCUUCUGCCUGUGACUUCUGGAUAUGUCAGAUCUAUCACCCUCAUGUUCAGGGGAGCCGUGAAGAAACUGAAUGGAUCUCAGUCCUCUGUCUUUGCUCUCUCCUCUAGAGCGUUUAUCACGCAUUGGUGAUUCUCUUCCUAGCAGUUAAAUAUCGACUUUAAGAAAAAGAAUAUCACCCCAGGGCCCAAAGAAGAAACAUUACCCUGGGCUAAUCUGUCCACUAUUUGAAUUGCAAGAACAAAACUUAUCCUCUGAAUGUAACACCUGGAAAGGUCAUCCUGACCCACUUUAUCCACAAGUAUGAGUUGGCACGUAAUAUUGUCCCGGAAACAAGAAUGCUCGAGUCCCCACCCUGCGUGUGCUACCUGUGUGGACACGUGGCCUUGUGUAUCCCUACCCCACCCACCCCACGUGGCAUCUAAUCAUCAUUCUCAUUUAGUUUUUAGCUCAGAUUAUUGCAAAUGUGGACAGUAAAGUCCCUUCAAGAUGGGUCCUUGUGCCUGGGUCAUAUUGCCAUGAUUCUUGGCAGCAUAUCCUUACCUUCCAGCGCAACUGAACGUUCCAAGCUUGAAGGGCUCUUCCCUUUCUGCUCACAAAGCCAGGUGGGGUGGGAGGUGGUGGCUAACUUCUCCCUCACCUGGACUGGUCUGACACAUCCCAGCCCUGGGAGGUUGGCUGAAACCUCCACCCUGCCCCCGUGAGUUAGGUGAGUGAGGUCAGGGCAGAGCCUGGGAAGGGCAAGUCGGCUCUAGAGCCAUGUGCUUCAUCAUCUGUCCAGACUGCUCAGUAAACAGAAAAGGUUCAUUAAAGUGAAAAAAAAAAAAAAAAAAAGCUCCGGGCUCAUCCAGCAGCUCCAGCCUCACUCUUCUCCAGCCUGGCUUUUAGCCACUUCGCCAAGGACGCCAGUUUCUUUUCAUGGGGCUUGGUAUUAGAGAUCCAGGUCUGCCCCGGCCUGUGCUCGGUGUUCCUGGAGCGUCUCUCUUCUGAGCCCUUUCAGUGGAAAGAGCCAGGAAAUACACAUGUGCACGCACACGCGUUAGUAUGCCUGUGUAGACGCCGUCUGCACAUGGGCACGUGUAGAUGCAUAGAUACCUAGACACGUAGUUUAGGCAUCAUGAAUUCAUGCUAGUAUCUCUGGUUCCCGUUUACUGUUUCUUUGUUUUGAAUGUAAGGAUGGAACCCCUUUCUCUCUUUUAUAAAAUUCUUUUAUUUUUUUAAAUUUCCUGGCCUCCCUGGUGCUGCAUGUGGGAUCUUAGAUCCCCCAGCCAGGAUUGGCAACCAGGCCGCUGUAUUGCAGGGAAGUCCCUCCAGUUUUCCUUUCUUACCUUCCCCCUCCCACAUCUAUGUGUCUCUUCUUUCCCAGUGAGAAUCUUAGCUUCCAGAAACAUCAGGACAUGAAUCAUUUGCUCAGUCCUGUAUUACAUCUGAAAUAGUAUCAGAAUACCUUCACCCACAACCACUACAGAAACAAACCUGAUAAAAAGAGGUCAGGAUCUUUCUAGUUCUCCCAUCUUCCUGCCCAGCCUGAGAUGGAGGACAAAUAGCUCAUAGGUCAAAACGGUUAAAAAUUAUUCAAAUUAGGUUUUCCCCUCCUGUGGUUAUAGUUAUUAAUAUUAUUGAUUCUAAAUAAUAAUAUAUUAUUAGAUAACUAACUUACAUUUUUUGUUUGAUUUCUCUUCCAUUAGGUAACAAAAUUUUGUUACCUAAUAAUUGGUGGAUCUGUCUACAAAACUUCGCCUUUGAGUAUUUGUCUGUGUUACAGAAUAUAAUAAACACUUGCUUCCAUUUUCUGGAACUUAUUCACUGUAUCUUCUCAUCCAGAUUUAUUCCCAUCUGUCCAUGCCUUUGUUUCAGAGUAGAUUCUACUGCGGUUCUAAUCAGCUAUGCGUGUUCUAUAUGAAUAAAAUUCCAGGCACACGGAGCCUAGAAAUGUGCAUGUUUUACUACAAGAUACUGAAAUCUCAGUGUGCAGGGGCCUCAUUCCCAGUGCGACUUGAUGGCUCCCACUCUUUGCAGUUUUAAACUUUUAUGUUAAUCUGGCAUUCUGGAUGGGGAUUUUUCUACUUUUCUGUGAGUCAUAGCAAUGUAACAGCUAUAGGAGAGCUAAACUUGGAGAGACUUGUUUUUAAGGAUUUGAGGAUCUGCCCCCUGGCUUUUUCUCAUCUGUAUUUCAUAACAAAAACCUAACAAGGAUUUCACUUUGGUGAAUCUGCCUACUAAAUCGAUGCUUGCACAUAACGCAUUCAUCAAUUAGCAUUUGGGAUUUUGAUUAAACCGGUAUACAAGUAAUUUUGCUUUAGUGGCUGUUAAAAGUAUAUUUUAAAAGGAAAACUAUGUUCUGGCAUUGAAUACUUCAAGGUUCUUCUUCAGUGUAUCAAAAUCUGUGCAUAUUGUAAUGUGGCCUUUUAACGUAUGGGUGCACCCUUGUCAUCUCAGUACUUACUCAGUAUGAUACACAAAAUAACCCACACAUCAAAACGGCCAAUAAAAUAGCAAAGUCAGACUGACAUUCCUGAAGUGCAUAGCACUUCUAUUUGCUUUUCUAUCCCUAACUGGAUCCAUUGUCUCCUUCUUUUACGUUCUACUGCCUAGAACAUUUGCCCCAUUGUUUUCUAAUGCUUUCGUCACACCUUUGUCAGUAAUUACCUUUCUUACUCAGCUUCCAUGGUGACUCUGGGCCUUUGGUUCAUCUUUUUUUGUUUAGCCUCCUUCCUUUUGAAAUCCCCACAUUUCAUUUGUCAACAACUUCUGAUUAUCUCAAAGAUACCUGGGAUUUUUCUGAAGAGUGCUUCUGCUUCAGAUGAGGGCCCUGACCUGGGAUCGCAAGACCCAGGGGACAUCAAGAUGGAGGAUGAGCCAAUGGAGGCAACCUUCCCUAUUCAGAUGGUUUCAGUAAUGCUUUUAAAUCAUCUUAUUCUCCAAGAAAAACAAUUGAAUAUUUUUGCCACUUAUAUUUUUCUAAUAUUGUUCCUGAGUCACACUGCCUUAGUCAUAGUUUAAGUUGUUAGAAAUUGUUUUAAAGAGGUAAAAAAAAAUCCAUCUUUCAUAUAGAUUGUUUUUCAUUUGCAAAUACUAGACAUUUGAGUUAAAAGUCAUAUAACUUGAGAUAGUAAAGGAGAAAUAUCGUGUGAUAUCUCUUACAUGUGGAAUCUAAAAGAAAAUGAUACAAUGAAUUUACUAAACAGAGACUCACAGACUUGGAGAAUGAACUUAUGGUUGUUUGCACACCCUGCAAUAUUUAAAAUGGAUAACCAACAAGGACUUACUGUUUAGCACACGGAACUCUUCUUGGUGUUAUGUGGCAGCCUGGAUGGGAGGGGAGUUUGGGGGAGAAUGGAUACAUGUA
Capra hircus (goat) is the source of this 3628-nucleotide long non-coding RNA. RefSeq lists it as uncharacterized. NCBI's taxonomy places the organism in Eukaryota, Metazoa, Chordata, Mammalia, Artiodactyla, Bovidae. The record is from RefSeq and is a predicted model, not a curated record. The transcript has 3 exons.